RNAcentral lists this ribosomal RNA (497 nucleotides) under uncultured bacterium. RNAcentral describes it as "partial 16S ribosomal RNA". It matches the Rfam family "Bacterial small subunit ribosomal RNA", at positions 28 to 507 of the family's 1533-position model. The record is from RNAcentral.
GAUGAACGCUGGCGGCGUGCCUAAUACAUGCCAGUCGAGCGAACAGACGAGGAGCUUGCUCCUCUGACGUUAGCGGCGGACGGGUGAGUAACACGUGGAUAACCUACCUAUAAGACUGGGAUAACUUCGGGAAACCGGAGCUAAUACCGGAUAAUAUAUUGAACCGCAUGGUUCAAUAGUGAAAGACGGUUUUGCUGUCACUUAUAGAUGGAUCCGCGCCGCAUUAGCUAGUUGGUAAGGUAACGGCUUACCAAGGCAACGAUGCGUAGCCGACCUGAGAGGGUGAUCGGCCACACUGGAACUGAGACGCGGUCCAGACUCCUACGGGAGGCAGCAGUAGGGAAUCUUACGCAAUGGGCGAAAGCCUGACGGAGCAACGCCGCGUGAGUGAUGAAGGUCUUCGGAUCGUAAAACUCUGUUAUUAGGGAAGAACAAAUGUGUAAGUAACUAUGCACGUCUUGACGGUACCUAAUCAGAAAGCCACGGCUAACUACGUG